CUCUCGGGUGACGAGCGGCGGACGGGUGAGUAAUGUCUGGGAAGCUGCCUGAUGGAGGGGGAUAACUACUGGAAACGGUAACUAAUACCGCAUAACGUCGCAAGACCAAAGUGGGGGACCUUCGGGCCUCAUGCCAUCAGAUGUGCCCAGAUGGGAUUAGCUAGUAGGUGGGGUAAUGGCUCACCUAGGCGACGAUCCCUAGCUGGUCUGAGAGGAUGACCAGGCACACUGGAACUGAGACACGGUCCAGACUCCUACGGGAGGCAGCAGUGGGGAAUAUUGCACAAUGGGCGCAAGCCUGAUGCAGCCAUGCGGCGUGGAUGAAGAAGGCCUUCGGGUUGUAAAGUACUUUCAGCGAGGAGGAAGGCGUUAAGGUUAAUAACCUUGGCGAUUGAGUUACUCGCAGAAGAAGCACCGGCUAACUCCGUGCCAGCAGCCGCGGUAAUACGUGAGGGUGCAAGCGUUAAUCGGAAUUACUGGGCGUGCAGCGCAGGCAGGCCGUCUGUCCAGUCGGAUGUGAAAUCCCCGGGCUUGACCUGGGAACUGCAUUGCAAACUGGUUAGCUAGAGUCUUGUAGAGGGGGGUAGAAUUCGGGUGUACCGGUGAUCUGCGUCGAUAACUGCAUGAACUACCGUGGUAUCUGAUCCUGUUUGCUCCCCAAGCGAUCGCACCUUACCGUCACUCGUUGUCCAGGGGGGAG
Molecule: ribosomal RNA, 700 nt
Filed under: Klebsiella pneumoniae
Lineage: Bacteria; Pseudomonadati; Pseudomonadota; Gammaproteobacteria; Enterobacterales; Enterobacteriaceae
Description: bacterial SSU rRNA
Rfam family: Bacterial small subunit ribosomal RNA
Source: RNAcentral